CGCGACAGUGACGCGCAUCCGUCGGUCCUCGGCGUGGCCGUCGUCGUGGCCGAGCAGCAUGACCUUGUCGUGGUUGAAGAACCAGUUGUUGGAGAUGGUCACGUCGGUGGAUCCGACCGUCACGUCCAGCAGCCCGUCCUCGCACCGCGACAGCGAGUUGUGGUCGAUCCACACCUUGGCGCUCGACACCAGCCGGAUGGCGUCGCCGUCCAUGCCGCCGGCCGGCUGCACGGCGCCGCCGGGCCUGACGGCCAGGCCCUCCGGCUGCGAGCGGCAGCCGUGGAUGUGCAGCCCGUGGAUGAUGACGCUGCUCACCCGGUGCAGCACGAUGCCCGCCCCGCCGGCGAUGUGCACGUCGGCGCCGCGCCCGUCGAUGGCCGUGAAGCUCUUCACGAACAGCGGCUGCGCCAGCCUGAUGUGCAUGUCCCUCUGGAAGGUGAUCCACACCUUCCCGCCCAGCACCGUCGCGCCGUACCGCAGCGUGCCCGGGCGCGGCCGCACCGGGUCGUCCCCGGGGUCCGUCACCGUGUACGGGAUGACCCCGGGCCCGCGGUUCUGCCGCAUCUUCCCGGCGAAGCCCACCGAGCACGCGGCCAGCCGCUGCCGGUUCGCGGCCCAGUUGGGCUGCCCGCGCCAGCACCGGUCGAUGACGUUCGCGCCGUCGACGACCUUCGUCGUCACUGCCCCGUGGAGGAGGAUCGAAAGGAAGACGAUCGCGAGCACUUCUUUGGAGGCCAUACUCGAGACGUGUGUCAAGCUCGAACCAAGCCUGUUGCUCGCCAGUUUGAGGGCGGCGGCAGUGUCAAUGUAUAUACUGGGCAGCAUGGUGAGAUGCCACUGAGGCGUUGGUGCCAUUUGUUUGUUUUAGUACUAUUUAUUAGAAUUUAUUAGAAGAAACUGCCGGAUGCAUGUAACUGCGUCCGUUUGUGUUUGUUUAAAGUGAACUCGUGAUGGUAUUGGUUAAUGUUUCAUCGAUGAGCAACAAUAACCAUGGCGGAGCUGCUGG
RNAcentral lists this unclassified non-coding RNA (1006 nucleotides) under Zea mays. Its description in RNAcentral is "misc RNA Zm00001eb369630". The record is from RNAcentral. Lineage: Eukaryota; Viridiplantae; Streptophyta; Magnoliopsida; Poales; Poaceae.